AGGGAGCGCGUGAUGAAGUCUGCAGGCAUUGCUGGGGCAACGCUAAGUGGCCGCUGGCCAGGGUAGAAGUUAAACCAGGAGAUGGCUGUCAAAUGCAGUUGUUAGGUGUGGCACAUCUUUCUCAAGCUGCUGAGCUGAGCAGGAAAGAGAGACGUUUGUUUAUGGAUUUAUCUCAUCUAUAAGACACUCUUAUUAGAUGAACUCUAUAUCAGUUCUAUGUAGAACUCUGUACCAGUUCUAUAAGGCACUCUUUAAUCUGAAUCUUUUUAUUUGCUCAAGAGAAAAAUAAGUCUGACUUGCAUCCCAUUGAAGAUUUAGAUUGCACUGUUUACAUCUUUCACCUGCGCCGCGGUAGCGUCCUCUACCGAUGCUAUCCUACGUUGAUUUUUCCAGCAACCUGGGAAGCAACCUCAUAGGUGGUUUGGGAUGUCUUUUGGCUGUGCUUAAAAAUUUCCAACAGAUUUGCUACACAUCUUAGGAUAAAUAUGUUUCCUGUGAAUUGUGAUGAUUUCUUACAGUACAUUUGCAAGCAUGUGUAUGCAUCUGCAGGAAACAUAGCCUGGCUCUGUGAAGGAAUACUGCUGUGACCGCAAAACUGUUUCUGUAGAAUUUUCUCCGGUGUGGUCAUCCUGCCUUCAGGAGGAAAAUAGAGCAAAAAGGUAGAACUUACUUCCACACCCAAGUUUCUCCUGAAAGCACUGUGCCUGUUUUGUUUGCUACACAUCUUGGGUAUGUAUGUUUGCAUCUAUGCAUGCAGGCAUGCAUGAGUUAUUUAUGUGUGUUAUUUGGUCCAGCCUUGAAGCUCCUUUUAUUUUUCAGUGAAUUGAAAGAAGGUAACCUUUGGAUGUAUAUAUUUUAGUGCUCCAGCAGAUUACCAGUGAAACAUGCCGACUCUCACCAAACCACCCCAUGUUGCCAAAUCUUCUCUCUUGGCCCUGAUGAUGUGCAACUUAAAACCAAGGUCCAGGUUGACUGCACAGCAGAGUUUACUGUUCGCUCUCUCGCUCUCUCUCCUCUCUCUUUUUUUCUGUAAGCCCAAUAAAUCUGCCCUAUCACGUCAUUGAGGCCACAAGGAAAUGUAAUCCUGCCAAGUGUGGGAGUUAACAAAAACUGCCAAAGUCUUAAGGUUGCAGAGAGAGCAAGAACCACUUUCUGGGUUACGCAUGUCUACUGUGUAUGUGCAGGGGUGCCAUGUGUAUGUACCGCGUGUGUGUGUGGGUACUGUGUGUGUGCAUGGAUGCUAUGUGGAUUCACCAUGCACUACCAUGUGUGCAUGAGCACCAUGUGUGUACACUGAGAGUGUAUGUGGCUAGCAGGUGUGUGUACUCUGUGUACCUGAGCACUGUGCGUACCUGUGCACUGAGCCUAUAUAUGGGCAUGUGUUUAUAGCAUGUAUGCAUGUGUGCUAUGUGUAUAUACCAUGCACUUGCACACAUAUACUGUGUGUGCAGCACACCAGAUGCCACAGAUAUGGUGGCGGGAGGGUCAAUGACAGGGAACUGGGGGGAGGCAGGUGUGAGGCAGGCCUGCUUGGGAACAGGUAAAUCACUUAAGGAUGCAGUGCUUUUCAUCUGCUUUGCUGCUCUUUUCCUCUUAAGCAGCAUGCGCUGAGAUUGCAGAAACCUGAAAGAUAGGGAAAGUGUGUAUCCCAUCUCCCCUUCCUGCCUGACUCUCAAGUAAGUUUUCUUUAAGUAUCUUUUUUCUUCAGCUUCAGGAAAAAGAGGACCUUAGAACUGAAGGAGCAAGAUUCCAACAUCACACUGUUUUUGUUAGCUGUGUGUGUGUGUUUCCUGUGUAUCCAAAAGACAGAGGAGAUGAAAAAGCAAAAGAAAAGAAACGAGGAAUCAGAUUGGAAAGAGUAUGAGUUUGUACUUAUGAAAUAAAACUUUUAUCUCUCUACACAGGACCGGGAGUCUGUCCCAAUUUCCUGUCUCUAACCUCACUGGAAGUGCUGACCCACUUCUGGCUAUUUUUAUGUGUUUCUUUGAAAAUGCUUACUGUGAUUGGAGUUGACUUGCCGACUCUGUUCUGCAGCCUCCCCACCACCUGAGUCCCAAAGGGCGGCCCUUCCCACCUCACGCCCAGUAAUUAUGGGUGAGCGCAGAGCCAAAGGAUGGCAGGGCUUUGUUGGUGGUGCGACCAGCGGGUGACCCCUUUCCUCGCAAUCAGAGACUCAGGGACAAGCAGCUUGCACCUGCACGUGGAGCUUUGCACACGGCCUUUUGCCUGAUUUUCCUCUUCGAGGCAUGCCCCCUCCAUGAAAGAUGGGCAUCUUCCCAUGUUCCGGAAUUCUUGGGGGUGCGCUGAUUCCAGGCUCUCGCCCCAGCUUUGGGCCCAGGGCAGUGAGCAUGUGUAGUUACUUAUCUAGGAUUGCAACCUGAGUCAACAGUGAAACCAGGAAGUGAACUCGGGGUCCGGCAUUGUAUGGAAAGUUGGGUGUAUUUACUUUUCUCUUAAAGCAAACUUUGAUUGACUCUUUAAUAAGUUACCAUGGAGGAUAUAGUUCUGGUGAGAUUUGACUUGGCAUCCAAAUCUAAGGCACAUAUUGAUAAUGGAGGAGAGGAACAGGGAGUCUUUUAUGUUUUUCCAGUUUUAUCAUUAACCCCAAGUUCAGAAAUCUGUUUGCUUUUAAAAGUGUCAGUUUCCUCGUUUAGGAAGGUGACAGUUCUCUACUGAUGAUGAGGUUUUUUUUGUUUUUUUUUUGAGAUGGAGUCUCGUUCUGUCACCCAGGCUGGAGUGUAAUGGCACGAUCUUGGCUCACUGCAACCUCUGCCUCCCGGGUUCAAGCGAUUCUCCUGCCUCAGCCUCCCGAGUAGCUGGGAUUACAGGCAUCCACCACCAUGCCUGGCUAAUUUUUUGUAUUUUUAGUAGAGAUGGGGUUUUGCCAUGUUGGCCAGGCUGGCCUUGAACUCCUGACCUCAGGUGAUCCGCCUGCUUCGGCCUCCCAAAGUGUCGGGAUUACAGAUGUGAGCCACCGCGUCCAGCCUGUUGAGAGGUUUCUCCAGGACGUCACCUGUAUGAGGUACACAGUGUGAUGACACACUCUGUGCUUUUCCUACUUGUGUCCACGGCUCAAGCCUGGAAGAAGCCUUAGGACGUGGGGGAAAUGUCUAACGUGGAGUCCACCUGCUGAGCAGGACCGGGUGUGAAGGAAGAAGCUUUGUUCUGAUUCCUCAUGGCCCAGCCACCCCUCGCCUGAGCUGAGCCUGGCCACAGGGCCCGCCUGCAGGAAGGGCUGGCCCAUGGCUUCACACUGGGCUCAGGCUGCGCUAAGAGCCCCGGGUGAGGACCUCCAAGCCCAGGAAGCCUCAGUUGGCCAAAGUGCUAGAUGCGUGUGGUCUGCUUUCAUCCCCGCUUCCCUCAGAGCUUGCAUUUUCCAAAUUCAAGAGAGGCUCCACCUUCAAGAAGACCGGCCUGUCCCUGUUAUUUAUGUGUCCCCCUACCAUAUCUCCCUUUGUUCUGCAGAGCGGUACGCAUAAAAAGCUUUUGGGGA
Molecule: long non-coding RNA, 3493 nt
Filed under: Homo sapiens (human)
Lineage: Eukaryota; Metazoa; Chordata; Mammalia; Primates; Hominidae
Description: HSALNT0299211
Source: RNAcentral